Long non-coding RNA from Lagopus leucura (white-tailed ptarmigan), 319 nucleotides. RefSeq lists it as uncharacterized. The record is from RefSeq and is a predicted model, not a curated record. NCBI's taxonomy places the organism in Eukaryota, Metazoa, Chordata, Aves, Galliformes, Phasianidae. The transcript is spliced from 3 exons.
UGGGGUAGGUUUUUUUUUCUGGAGAUUCUUCUUCUUGGGAGUUUUUCCUGCAAACUUAGAUCUUUGGAUACAGACAAUAACUUCGAACACUAACUUGAAGCUUUCAUUGAGAGCAUAGAUUCUACAGCAACCAAGUAACAAAUGUUAAGCAAGGAAUUGUUCAUGAGACUGUUCCUCUCACGUUGGUGCUCAUCACUUACAAUUUGAAGGCAUCUUACCAGAUGGUAGUCGUUGCUGGAUUGUGCAGAGAAUUCCCGGAGCGCAACACGUCAGUGACUCGUGUACAUCUCCUUGAGGAAUAAGGGUGCAUGUUGGAGAG